GGAGCAGUAGGGAAUCUUCCGCAAUGGACGAAAGUCUGACGGAGCAACGCCGCGUGAGUGAUGAAGGCUUUCGGGUCGUAAAACUCUGUUGUUAGGGAAGAACAAGUGCUAGUUGAAUAAGCUGGCACCUUGACGGUACCUAACCAGAAAGCCACGGCUAACUACGUGCCAGCAGCCGCGGUAAUACGUAGGUGGCAAGCGUUAUCCGGAAUUAUUGGGCGUAAAGCGCGCGCAGGUGGUUUCUUAAGUCUGAUGUGAAAGCCCACGGCUCAACCGUGGAGGGUCAUUGGAAACUGGGAGACUUGAGUGCAGAAGAGGAAAGUGGAAUUCCAUGUGUAGCGGUGAAAUGCGUAGAGAUAUGGAGGAACACCAGUGGCGAAGGCGACUUUCUGGUCUGUAACUGACACUGAGGCGCGAAAGCGUGGGGAGCAAACAGGAUUAGAUACCCUGGUAGUCCACGCCGUAAACGAUGAGUGCUAAGUGUUAGAGGGUUUCCGCCCUUUAGUGCUGAAGUUAACGCAUUAAGCACUCCGCCUGGAGAGCGG
Molecule: ribosomal RNA, 545 nt
Filed under: uncultured bacterium
Lineage: Bacteria
Description: bacterial SSU rRNA
Rfam family: Bacterial small subunit ribosomal RNA
Source: RNAcentral